GUAAUGGAUUAGCUGGCAUCUCAUGAUUCCUAGCCGCCUGAGGAUAGUGCAGGGGAUAGUGGGAUGGAGCCUGCCUGCCUCUUCAGGUGGUUUUGGCUGCGCGAGGACUGGGGUACACUGAAUUAAGGAUAAAUGGGGGCACAAAUAUUUAAUUCACUACAGGUGAAAUUCUUGGAUGCAUUUGCCAUUGCCUUCUGAAAAAUGCAUCUGCCAAGGAUGUAACUUUUACUCAGCAACGAAAGUUAUGGGAUCCAGGAAGAUCCCAUCCCGGCUAUUUCUUCCCCGUGGAAUAUGCCGACCUUCCAUUAGAACAGCUAGUUUACCCUGGGGUUGAUCGGUGCGGCCAUACUUGCCGUUCGCCUUUCGGCGGCUGUGAUGGGGACGCUUUACCCGGUGGUGACAAUGAAUGACUCCCUAGCAGCUUGUGAGAA
This 431-nucleotide ribosomal RNA is filed under the name Acanthamoeba genotype T4. RNAcentral describes it as "partial 18S ribosomal RNA". The record is from RNAcentral. Lineage: Eukaryota; Discosea; Longamoebia; Acanthamoebidae.